GAGGGUGUAGCUCAGUGGCGGAGCAUGUGCUUAGCACGCAUGUGGUCUGGGCUCAAUCCCCAGUAACUUCG
This 71-nucleotide transfer RNA is filed under the name Camelus ferus (Wild Bactrian camel). It matches the Rfam family "tRNA". Rfam says of the family: Transfer RNA (tRNA) molecules are approximately 80 nucleotides in length. Their secondary structure includes four short double-helical elements and three loops (D, anti-codon, and T loops). Further hydrogen bonds mediate the characteristic L-shaped molecular structure. tRNAs have two regions of fundamental functional importance: the anti-codon, which is responsible for specific mRNA codon recognition, and the 3' end, to which the tRNAs corresponding amino acid is attached (by aminoacyl-tRNA synthetases). tRNAs cope with the degeneracy of the genetic code in two manners: having more than one tRNA (with a specific anti-codon) for a particular amino acid; and 'wobble' base-pairing, i.e. permitting non-standard base-pairing at the 3rd anti-codon position. The record is from Rfam by way of RNAcentral. Lineage: Eukaryota; Metazoa; Chordata; Mammalia; Artiodactyla; Camelidae.